CAACCACUGCUGUUCCUAAUAACAUGGUCCUAUUUUCGUGCUGUACAAAUAAAGGAUAUCUCAAACAAACACUACCUAAAGUCCAAGGUAAAUCAUUUGGGGGAUAAGAUCAAGAUACAUAGGGCCCACCAACAAAUCACCAUGACUUUUUUUAUAAAAGAUUCAUGAAUUGCUUCUGAAUCAACAGAAAUUAUCAGCAUUGUGUUUGGUUAAAUCUCAUCAAUUCAAGCAAAUGGGUUCUCUAAUGGCAGGUUGGAACUCAACUGUCCAUGAUCCUAGAACUGAGAAAUUUGAGAGGAACAGGUCAUUGACAAAAGAGGAAAUAGAGGCUUACUGGGUAUCAAAAAAGAAAGCUGAGGAAGAACGUCUUAGAGCUAUUUAUGACAUAUCAAUGAAGACCACUAGUCAGAUUCAGGAAAAAAGCACAGUUGAGGAGUCCGAAAGGAAGAUUCAGAGGUCAAGCUCUCUGCCUUUGUCCAACACAAAGGAUGGUCUGCUGCAAAUGGAAACUGAAACAAGCUUCGAGAAACUUAUAAUGAAAAACGGAUGGUGGAUUAGGAGCAACUCUGCAUUUUUGAACGAACCUCCAGUAAUUGUAUCAGAAGUCCCUGCUUACAAGUAUGCAUCACAGUUCCACGUAGCAGGGAUCGCCACCUCCACCGCCACCGCAAACACACAAGCUCCCACUGGAAUUAGUACAUGAUUUAGGAUCUUGUUUAAUGUAUCCUAUCUUAACGUAUGUGUGUGUGUUUAUGUAUUUAUACGUAUGUCCAACCUUGGAACUGUGCUCCAAACUAUGACUAUAGUAAAAGAGGGGUUGUCUGUGUGAGAGUUCAGCUGCUUGACCUGUACAGUACUUAGUGAGCUAAAUCUAUAAUGAUGAGAUUUUGUCAAGGCCUCUUUCUUGUUCAAUUUGAUGGCUCAAAAUUUUGAAUAUUGGUGCACACAAUGUAGAACUUGAAAUAUAAUCCAUAUUAAAGUGUUGUCACUCUUAUUCUAAUCAGAACAUGAUAGUGAAAUGUUUUUGCCCUUCACCUGGUAUUUUAAUGAUUUGCAACCGUAUGCAUUGGCAUAGGGAUUUUCAUUUUAAUCAUGUACUUUUAAAGAGAAUUUAAAUUCAUAAAACAUAACUACUAAAUUGCAAUUAUUUUUUUCCUUAUUUGAUUAAUAAUGUUAUGAUGGCUACAUUUAUAUAUCAAAAGAUGUUCAUCUAUCAUUUUUUAUGUCACAAAUUGUAUUGGUUUAAUGAGUUCUAUUAGUCAUGUUUAUUAUUAAUGAAAAAAUAAGAUAUUAUGUGACAAAUAAAAUGUGAUUAUCAUAAUAAAAGAGUAGUGAUAAUUUAAAUUUUUUUUUUUGGGAAGGGGGGUGGGUUACACGGUAAGGGGUGUUCGUUCCAGCUUACGCACACCUCAACUAAUUUUUUUCCCGGUCCGAUCAAAGAUAGGUCAUCCACGUCAGGAUUAGGAAAUUCAUGAAAAAUUUCUUGCUCAUGACCUGAUCCCAAGAGUUAAACCCUGAAUAAUUGUGUGGAGAGUAUAUCCACCAACCACUUAGAACAAUCCUCAUAUUCAACUUUUAAGUCACUUACGUUCUAUGAAAAUGUGAUAACCAUAAUAUGGAGUAACAAUAUUCAUAUUUCACUUUAGUUAUUCACAUAUUAUCUUUUAUUUUUUAACUAGUCCCAAUGGGAUGUGAAACCCUAAUAAAAUCUUAAAACAUAAUUCAAUGAUUUGCAAUGGAACAAUGAACAAAUAUUUUCGUACUGAUAUUUUUCCUUACUAAAUUGGGCUCGCGUUGGUCCACUUCAUACAACAGACAAAACUGUCUACCUCUCUCCUUCCUUCCCCUGUUCCUGUUCUGUUCUCACAAAUUAUUACAGAUCAAUUCUGUUCCUACACUUUCCCGGAAAAUAACAAAUGGCCGAGAAAAGCAAAAUUCUCAUCAUCGGUGGAACAGGGUACAUUGGAAAAUUCAUAGUGGAAGCGAGCUCCAAGGCUGGCCACCCCACCUUCGUUUUGAUUAGAGAAACCACAAUUUCAGACCCUUUUAAAGCAAAACUCAUUGGUUUCUUCAAGAACUCAGGGGUCACUAUGCUCCAUGGUGAUGUGUACGAUCAUGGUACUUUGGUGAGGGCAAUAAAGCAGGUGGAUGUGGUGAUAUCAGCAGUUGGAGGAGGCACAAUGAUAGAAGAUCAGGUGAAGAUCAUUGCGGCCAUUAAAGAAGCUCGAAACAUCAUGAGGUUCUUCCCUUCAGAGUUUGGAAAUGAUGUGAAUCGUAGUAAUGCAGUCGAGCCAGCAAAAUCUGCAUUUGCAAUGAAAGCCCAAAUUCGCAGAGCUGUUGAAGCUGAGGGAAUUCCUAUCCACCUAUGUGUCUUCUAACAAAUUCGCCGGCUGUUUUCUCCCUACAUUUGAACAGCCAGGACUCACUGCUCCUCCUAGAGACAAAGUAACCAUUCUUGGGGAUGGAAAUCACAAAGCAACAUUCAAUGAGGAACAUGACAUUGGUACCUACACCAUCAAAGCUGUGGAUGACCCAAGAACAUUGAACAAGAUCCUAUACAUCAGGCCUCCUAAAAACAUUUACUCAUUCAACGAGCUUGUUUCACUAUGGGAGAAGAAGAUUGGCCUGACCCUUCAAAGAAUCUAUGUUCCAGAGGAGCAAAUUCUGAAGCAAAUCCAAGAGUCCCCAACCAACAAAAUGAUAUUAUCAAUCAACCACUCUGUUUUUGCAAAGGGAGAUCAGAACAACUUUGAGAUUGAGCCCGCAUUUGGGGUUGAGGCUUCUGGGGUUUUUCCAGAUGUCAAGUACAUGACUGUGGAAGAAUACCUUGAUCGGUUUGUUUGAGAGGUUAUAAACUUUUGCUUUUGUUGUUACUAAAAUGAAAACAGAGAGGUUUUGGGUUCAAUGGAUUCAUGUAAGAAAAUCUGAAUUUUAUGAAAUGAAUGAACUAACCACCAUCAUUGCAGUUCGAA
This is a non-coding RNA of Camellia sinensis, 2972 nucleotides long. Lineage: Eukaryota; Viridiplantae; Streptophyta; Magnoliopsida; Ericales; Theaceae. The record is from RefSeq and is a predicted model, not a curated record.